ACUCCUACGGGAGGCAGCAGUGGGGAAUAUUGCACAAUGGGCGCAAGCCUGAUGCAGCCAUGCCGCGUGUAUGAAGAAGGCCUUCGGGUUGUAAAGUACUUUCAGCAGUGAGGAAGGUGGGUAUGUUAAUAGCAUACUCAUUUGACGUUAGCUGCAGAAGAAGCACCGGCUAACUCCGUGCCAGCAGCCGCGGUAAUACGGAGGGUGCGAGCGUUAAUCGGAAUUACUGGGCGUAAAGCGCAUGCAGGUGGUUUGUUAAGUCAGAUGUGAAAGCCCGGGGCUCAACCUCGGAAUUGCAUUUGAAACUGGCAAACUAGAGUACUGUAGAGGGGGGUAGAAUUUCAGGUGUAGCGGUGAAAUGCGUAGAGAUCUGAAGGAAUACCGGUGGCGAAGGCGGCCCCCUGGACAGAUACUGACACUCAGAUGCGAAAGCGUGGGGAGCAAACAGGAUUAGAUACCCUGGUAGAC
This 468-nucleotide ribosomal RNA is filed under the name uncultured bacterium. RNAcentral describes it as "bacterial SSU rRNA". It matches the Rfam family "Bacterial small subunit ribosomal RNA", at positions 335 to 795 of the family's 1533-position model. The record is from RNAcentral.